GUAGCUUUCUUUCCAAGUUAACUUUCAAGAGAAACUCAAGCAACUGAAAGUUUUGUUGGCAAGUUGCACAGCAUCUAGUUCAUCACAAGUAAGUAGACACCUGGAAAUGUGAGGCAUUUUUAAACAAAAGAACUUCAAGUUUCAUUAAAUGUUCUUUCUGUUAUUUUUCCCUAAGUUGCAGAACACUAGAAGUUUUGUUAUGGGGUUGCAAAUAUUUGUGUGUGUGUGUGUGUGUGUGCUAAUCCAACACAGAGAAUUAAUCACUGGUGUCCUCUUUAUAUUUCUUAACCUUUUAGGUACAUUUCUUGUUGUGCGAGUCUGCCUGGGCUGUGAACAUUUGCUGUCAGGGUCAAGAUUCCAGCACAUGGACACAGGGGACCCCAAUAAGAGGUCAAUGGAAAAAAGCUGGAAGAGAUAUUUCAGAAAGUAAGAGUAGCCAGUGCUUUAUGCAGAUCUCUGGGGUCAUCACUACCUUCUGGCUCUGUUUGUGAGCUUUACGACUCUAGAUACUUCAUUUUUCCAGUUCUCAUGAGUUAAACUUUUGGGUCAUUAAUCAUGCGAGUUACAUAGGCUUACUGCUGUAUGCAGAAAUCAUUUAAUUAAUGAUUAUCAUGUUAAUGGAGAGAUAUAUUUCCAAUAGUUAGAAUACCUACAUUGCCAGCCAAUCUUCCCUACUUUCCUACAUUAAAGGUGUUGGGAAACAUUUUUUACUUUUCUUGAUGAAUUAGGAAUAGAGUUGUGGGGAUGUUUUGCUCCUGGUUAUGAAGAAGCCAUAUAAGCUUUUGGUUAUUUUGUUUCACAAAAUACUAUAUUCCACAGUGUCAUUCUCAAGAUCCACUGGGCUGUCUCUUUUUGAAUGUGGCAGCUGUAGAUAGACCCAGAUAAAUUAAUGGAACCUCAUUGUUGUUGCCUGGCAAUCCCAUAUUCCCUCUUGAGCUUUUUCUCUCCUGUUUUAUAGAGAAGUAAUUUCUGAUGUGUUUUACUUCCCCCUCAGUGACCUUCUCUCCUCUUUCUCUCAUCAAGUACAUCUCUUCCUGGUGUCUCUGACAAGAUGGCUUCUCCUCCUCCUCCUCCACAGAAAAGAGAUAGAGAGCAUCAAAGUUACACCUCCCAGAGCUUCCUGCUACUACAAUAUAGACUAACCUACUUCUACCUCCAUUCCUUCCUCUUCCUCCAGCUACUUCCUCUUUCCUCUAGCUACUUCCUCUUUCCCCAGCUACUUCCUCUUUCCCUCUCCCUGCUCCUCUUCCACUUCCUGCUGCUCUUCCUCCUCCCCCCC
RNAcentral lists this long non-coding RNA (1279 nucleotides) under Marmota monax (woodchuck). Lineage: Eukaryota; Metazoa; Chordata; Mammalia; Rodentia; Sciuridae. The record is from RNAcentral.